GUGGGGAAUAUUGGACAAUGGGCGAAAGCCUGAUCCAGCCAUGCCGCGUGUGUGAAGAAGGUCUUCGGAUUGUAAAGCACUUUAAGUUGGGAGGAAGGGCAGUAAGUUAAUACCUUGCUGUUUUGACGUUACCGACAGAAUAAGCACCGGCUAACUUCGUGCCAGCAGCCGCGGUAAUACGAAGGGUGCAAGCGUUAAUCGGAAUUACUGGGCGUAAAGCGCGCGUAGGUGGUUUUGUAAGUUGGAGGUGAAAUACCCGGGCUCAAACUGGGAACUGCCUCCAAAACUGCAUGACUAGAGUACGGUAGAGGGUAGUGGAAUUUCCUGUGUAGCGGUGAAAUGCGUAGAUAUAGGAAGGAACACCAGUGGCGAAGGCGACUACCUGGACUGAUACUGACACUGAGGUGCGAAAGCGUGGGGAGCAAACAGGAUUAGAUACCCGGGUAGUCC
Molecule: ribosomal RNA, 450 nt
Filed under: uncultured bacterium
Lineage: Bacteria
Description: partial 16S ribosomal RNA
Rfam family: Bacterial small subunit ribosomal RNA
Source: RNAcentral